UUAAGUUCAGCGGGUAUUCCUACCUGAUCCGAGGUCAACCUUUGUAAGGGGGUUGUUUAACGGCAAGAACCCGCCGCACGACCAAAGCGAGAUGUAUUACUGCGCUCGGUGUGACUAGCGAGCCCGCCACUGGUUUCAGGGCCUGCGGCAGCCGCAGGUCCCCAACACAAGCCGGGGGCUUGAUGGUUGAAAUGACGCUC
RNAcentral lists this unclassified non-coding RNA (200 nucleotides) under Chaetomiaceae sp. RNAcentral's name for it is "partial internal transcribed spacer 2". The record is from RNAcentral. Lineage: Eukaryota; Fungi; Ascomycota; Sordariomycetes; Sordariales; Chaetomiaceae.